This 218-nucleotide ribosomal RNA is filed under the name uncultured bacterium. RNAcentral's name for it is "partial 16S ribosomal RNA". It matches the Rfam family "Bacterial small subunit ribosomal RNA", at positions 18 to 232 of the family's 1533-position model. The record is from RNAcentral.
CCUGGCUCAGAUUGAACGCUGGCGGCAUGCUUAACACACGCAAGUCGAACGGCAGCAUAGUCUAGCUUGCUAGAUGGGUGGCGAGUGGCGAACGGGUGAGUAACGCGUAGGAAUAUGCCUUAAAGUGGGGGACAACUUGGGGAAACUCAAGCUAAUACCGCAUAAUCUCUGAGGAGAGAAGCUGGGGACCGCAAGGCCUGGCGCUUUAAGAUUAGCCU